Molecule: long non-coding RNA, 1823 nt
Organism: Brassica rapa (field mustard)
Lineage: Eukaryota; Viridiplantae; Streptophyta; Magnoliopsida; Brassicales; Brassicaceae
Source: RefSeq, a predicted model, not a curated record
UCACUUUCAUUUAUUUCCGAAGAUAUUCGUAUGAGAAGUUUCUUUCUGGUAGUUCUCUACUAUUAAUGUGUCGGUUGUAAUCUGAUCAAUGACUCAUUGAAGACAUUAAGUAACAGUAACCAGUUGUUCUGUUUGAUAGUCGGAGUUAUUGGUCAUAAUAGAUACAUUUACAUCCAGAUCAGAGCGCAGAAAGUAGGGAUUCAGUUGAAUCUUCCUUGCCAUCACACGAGCAGCAGUGUCAAUUAAGGUCAGGCCCUAAGUAUAAUGAUAUGUUUCAUAUUUUCUAUCUAACUUUUCCCACCUACUCAGUUUGAAAGAAUCUUUUUUUUUUGAAAACAAGUUUGAAAGAAUCUUACAUUGGUUGCUAAUCUUAUCAUCGCUGUUUGAUUUAUGCGUUAGCUUCUUGCAUUAGGACAUCUCCAACAAGACACCAAAAUACCAAAUUUGGUGUAAUCUCAUCUCCAACAAAACAUUAAAUUUGACAUCAUUCCAUCAAAGUUGGUGUAAUGUGAAUAGUGCUAUACCAAAUUUAGUGUAAUACUAUUCAUCACACAAAAUAAUUAAAAUACAUUUUAUUAUGUUUCAUUUAAUAAUAUAGUUCCAUUGUUAUCAAAUUUGUAAUUAAAAAUAAAUAUAUUAUGUUAUUUGUAUUUUUAUUUUAUCUUCACAUAAUUAAAAAAAUUAAAAUUAAAAUUUUAUUUUUAUUUUCAAAAUAAAUCACUAAAUGACUAUUAUUAUUUAUCAUUUACAAAUAAUAAAAUAUAAAUAAUAAUCUAAAUGUGACUAAAUAAUUAUUUAUUAAUUAAUAAAUAAUAAAAAUAUAAAACUUUAAGAACUGAAAACAUCAAAUAAUAUAUAAUAAUACAUUUGGUGUAAAAUUUGGUGUUAUUCUUGGAGAUGAUAAAAAGAUUGUGACACCAAAACACCAAAUUUGAUGUAAUUUCAAUACCAAAUAUGAUGUCAUUCUUGGAAAUGCCCUUAAGUAUGGCUUAUUUCUUUUCUUUCAUCAUGCUUUUGAUAUGCAUUGAUGUAAGAAUUUUACAAUUCUUUAUGCACUACUCUGUAUUGCUCUAAAUUUUAUGAUUGCUAAUUAUUGUGUAGGUUUCAAAUAGUGGCUUCUGUAUAUUUCAGUUUCUUUCUGUGAUUUGAUAGUUUAAUGUUGAUCUCCUGAGUCGUGAUAAAAUAGUUCAUGAUUAUAUAUAUUGUGAAAUAAAGAAGAUCUAUCUCUGAAUAGUUAAUUGGAAACUCGUAUAAAUCAUUCAAGUUUUUUACUUCACAAUGAUUUCGUAAACAGCAUAUCAGAAGACAUAGACAACAAGUCACUAUGAUAUUCUCAGUGAUAUAUAUACACAUGUCAGUAAUCUAUACUCUAUAUUACUUUCUGUGGGUCAUUCGGUUGUAGUCAAAAUAAAUGUAGACAUAGAAAGAGACAUAAUUAUUUUAAUGUGACAUUAUAUGAUUCUAAUAUUCUAAGCUUUAGAAAAACCAUAUGCAUCAAAUUAAACAACAUAUAAUUAGUAUGAAAAUGCAAAAAGAAUAUAGAAGAUCAAAUGUUAAAUUUAACAAGAAAACAAUAUAAAAAAUCUCUAUCUUCAUUUGCUAAUGUUGUAGACAUUUUAGGAUUUGUUGAUUUUAAAUUAUGUAUAACUUUUAAAAAAUUUGUACCAAAAACAACCAAAAGAAUUAUAAACAAAUAAUCCGGAUGUAGUCCGGAUAAACCCCCUAGUUUGAUCUAAUAGUGUUAAAAAAAACUAUUUUAUCUAAUAAAGUAGAAAUUGAAUUUUCCCAAAAAGCAGAAAUGUAAUUUUGAAAAGAUUUUUUUU